AAACCAACUGGGAUUACCUUAGUAACGGCGAGUGAAGCGGUAAAAGCUCAAAUUUGAAAUCUGGUACUUUCAGUGCCCGAGUUGUAAUUUGUAGAAUUUGUCUUUGAUUAGGUCCUUGUCUAUGUUCCUUGGAACAGGACGUCAUAGAGGGUGAGAAUCCCGUUUGGCGAGGAUACCUUUUCUUUGUAAGACUUUUUCGAAGAGUCGAGUUGUUUGGGAAUGCAGCUCAAAGUGGGUGGUAAAUUCCAUCUAAAGCUAAAUAUUGGCGAGAGACCGAUAGCGAACAAGUACAGUGAUGGAAAGAUGAAAAGAACUUUGAAAAGAGAGUGAAAAAGUACGUGAAAUUGUUGAAAGGGAAGGGCAUUUGAUCAGACAUGGUGUUUUUGCAUGCACUCGCCUCUCGUGGGCUUGGGCCUCUCAAAAAUUUCACUGGGCCAACAUCAAUUCUGGCAGCAGGAUAAAUCAUUAAGAAUGUAGCUACUUCGGUAGUGUUAUAGCUUUUUGGAAUACUGUUAGCCGGGUAUUGA
RNAcentral lists this ribosomal RNA (527 nucleotides) under uncultured Hanseniaspora. RNAcentral describes it as "eukaryotic LSU rRNA". It matches the Rfam family "Eukaryotic large subunit ribosomal RNA", at positions 62 to 592 of the family's 3401-position model. The record is from RNAcentral. Lineage: Eukaryota; Fungi; Ascomycota; Saccharomycetes; Saccharomycodales; Saccharomycodaceae.